CCUACGUGUGGCAGCAGUGAGGAAUAUUGGUCAAUGGGCGGAAGCCUGAACCAGCCAAGUAGCGUGCGGGAUGAAGGCCCUACGGGUCGUAAACCGCUUUUGCACGGGGAUAACACCCUCCACUUGUGGAGGUCUGCAGGUACCGUGCGAAUAAGGGCAGGCUAAUUCCGUGCCAGCCGCCGCGGUAAUACGGAAGGCCCGAGCGUUAUCCGGAUUCAUUGGGCUUAAAGGGAGCGUAGGCGGGCGUUCAAGUUAGCUGUAAAAUCGCGCGGCUCAACCGCGCCCCGCAGUUGAAACUGGACGCCUUGAGUUCACAACAGGCAGGCGGAAUUCGUGGUGUAGCGGUGAAAUGCAUAGAUAGCACGAGGAACCCCGAGUGCGAAGGCAGCCUGCCGGGGUGCGACUGACGCUGAGGCUCGAAGGUGCGGGUAUCAAACAGGAUUAGAUACCCCUGUAGUC
Molecule: ribosomal RNA, 459 nt
Filed under: uncultured bacterium
Lineage: Bacteria
Description: partial 16S ribosomal RNA
Rfam family: Bacterial small subunit ribosomal RNA
Source: RNAcentral